ACGACUCUCGGCAACGGAUAUCUCGGCUCUCGCAUCGAUGAAGAACGUAGCGAAAUGCGAUACUUGGUGUGAAUUGCAGAAUCCCGUGAACCAUCGAGUUUUUGAACGCAAGUUGCGCCCGAAGCCGUCAGGCCAAGGGCACGUCUGCCUGGGUGUCACGCA
RNAcentral lists this ribosomal RNA (162 nucleotides) under Reseda scoparia. Its description in RNAcentral is "5.8S ribosomal RNA". It matches the Rfam family "5.8S ribosomal RNA". Rfam says of the family: 5.8S ribosomal RNA (5.8S rRNA) is a component of the large subunit of the eukaryotic ribosome. It is transcribed by RNA polymerase I as part of the 45S precursor that also contains 18S and 28S rRNA. The record is from RNAcentral. Lineage: Eukaryota; Viridiplantae; Streptophyta; Magnoliopsida; Brassicales; Resedaceae.